CGUGACACAGUAUGUCUUUCUUCCAGUGUCCAUAUGUCAGAGUUAACUCCUGCUUUUUGUAUGAUUGUUUUAAGACUAGAAAAUUAAGACUCUGUAUGUGCGUGGCCACUGCAAAUGACCCUCCUACAAAACAAAACAAGGACAAAAAGGAAGGCUCUUAACAUUCAUUUUUAAUAAUAACUUUGUGUAUGCCUGUGCAGUAUGUGUACCCAGGCACAUAGGCACUUUCUUCUUCUUCAACUUCUACGGCUUACUCCUUUUCAGGGUCACGUGGAACCUGGAGCCUAUCCCUGGGAGCAUCAGGCACAAGGCGGGGUACACCCUGGACAGGGUGCAUAGGCACUUUUAGUUCAUCUUAAUAGUGAUAAACAGUAGAUUUACCUGUAUAAGUUUAUGCAGUGUGCUGUUUUGGCAGGAGAUGGUAACAGGAAGCUGAUUCUUAUCACAAUCCAAUGUCCAAAUAUCCUCCUUCUUUACUCUCUUUAAUGGUAGGGCUAUAAGAGAGAAAGAAUACCAUCUUAAUAUCUUAAAACUGCAUUAAAUCUCAAUAACCCAGUGACAAAAGGGUUAAUAAGUAAUUGAUUCAUGCAUCAUAGUACACUCAGCAAGCUGGCCUAUACAGACAUGCAUUGCUGUUUUAGAAGCGCUUGACUUUCCAGGUGCCUGAAACUGACAACUGAUAACAGUAAUGUUGUCCUGUAAUCACCAGUCCCUUUUAACAUUAGUCUUUAACAAUGUUAAUAUAUGAUGCAGAAAAACUAGUCCAUGCUUUCGUUACCUCUAGGUUGAACAAUAGUAAUGCAUUGCUGACUGGGUGUUACGUACCAGUAGGUAUAAAACAAGCUCCAGUUAGGACAAAUUAAUUAUUCAUAUGACAUUAAUGAAAAAAUAAAAGUAAAAUAUGGUUUGAAUAAAUAGGCAAAACAUAAAUAGCCAUAAUAUUAUUGUGCACAUUUAAAUAUUGUGUCUAUUGAAAAUUUCUUUAUAAAAUAAAUUGGUAACACUUUACAAUACUGUUCUACAAGUCCAUGGUAACUAUGCAGGAAUUAAGCAGGAAUAAAUUAGUAGUUCCUCAUUAACACUUAUUUUUCUCCAAUUAACUACUAAUAAGUGCUAAUUAAUUAUGAUGUUAGUAGGAGUUCACUAUUAACUAAGUGUAACCCACAUUGAAUUAUCACCAAUAAAUGAUUCAUAAAAUGCAUAAAUAAGCUAAUAAGUUAAAACAUAUACAUGUAAGAAACAAUUAAGAAUGGUUAAAAACAGUUUGACAGUGAUUUAAUGUAAACAAACAGAAGUAUGGCUGUAAGGAAUUGUGGUGACGCUUCCCCUUUAAGAGACUCGGUGGCCCAUUUUGAAGCAGCACUGAGCAGAGAGCGGAGAAGCAGACAGACUAACAAGCUAAAAAGUUAAAAGCUUUUGUGAAGAGUUGAUUUAGAAGCUCAAAAACAAUACCUGCUUGUUUGGGAAUUUAUGAAGCUUAAAUACAAGAAAACCACAACG
This is a long non-coding RNA of Ictalurus punctatus (channel catfish), 1500 nucleotides long. The record is from Ensembl. Lineage: Eukaryota; Metazoa; Chordata; Actinopteri; Siluriformes; Ictaluridae.